Long non-coding RNA from Mastomys coucha (southern multimammate mouse), 1581 nucleotides. RefSeq lists it as uncharacterized. The record is from RefSeq and is a predicted model, not a curated record. Lineage: Eukaryota; Metazoa; Chordata; Mammalia; Rodentia; Muridae. The transcript is spliced from 3 exons.
AGAGAGCAUGCUGAGGUUUUUGUGGGGGUGGGGUGGGGGGAAAGUAGCCUGAAGAGCCUCUGGCUAUGGAAGAGAGAUCAGAUGGGCCUGGUCUGAACUUACAUACAAGCCACACCACACAAAGAGGCCCAGGCUGGGGUAGGAGGGAUUCCACCCUAGCUGUUUACAAACAAACGCUGGUGCCUACUUCCUGGCCGCAGCCUGUGACUGUUCUGAAGCAACAAGUGCCACCGAGAAUUCCAUCGGACUUGGUGACCUGUGAUGGCCCAGCCCAGCUGCAGCAGAAAUAAAACACUGGGAGGGGACACAAACUAGUGCCAGCGGGACUUCUGGCAGACACCAGGCGGAGCCCAUGGAAAGGCUGAUUACCCCGCAUUAGCGGAGGACACCGUGACACAAAGAGGCCAGCCAUCUGCCCCUAAGCUCACAGCCUUCCAACCCAUGGGGUCUGAAACCGGGCUGUCUGGCUCCAAUGUCCCACUGGUCCUGAGACUCUGGAAAUUAAUUACAGGACUGAGGGAGGCACCUUCCGGCUCCAAGUGUGAUCCUGGAAAUGUGGCUGACUCCGAGGACCUUAGUUUCCUUCCUGACCCCAGGGCACAGGACGAGGGGGUGGGAAAUAAACACAGCCAACCCUGUCCUUAGGACUCUCUUAUGCACACCUCUCGUCCGUCUUCAGGAUGACACCGAACACCUUGUUUUGACCAUUAUCUCAGAGAACUUAAGAUCCAUCCCAACAGUAGACAAUAAAAGGGUGGCCUGCCAGCGAGUUUCAGAGAGACCAACUAAACUUCCUGAGGCCACACAGCAAGCCAGGACAGGUUCUAGCAUCCAAGGAAACGGAGUUUCCUCCCAUUCGAAGUCCGAGAGAUCUGUCAAGAACAGCCCAGGCUGAGGUUAGAGCAGGAAACCACACGUCUCCCGCUUCCCUUCCCCAGGCACCUAGUCUGGUCUGGUCUCCCAAAGGCAGAGGACGACACCUCAGGCAAAUAGUAGGCCUGAAAGCCAUUUGCUGCUCUUCAGUCCCCCAAGUCAAGCAAGCUGGAGAAGAGACCCUGGAAGUAUCUCCCAAGGGCGGCGACUCUCAUCAGUCAGUAACCUGGGGGUAAAUCCCGCUCCAUUCGGACGCUCUGCUUCCUCAUCUUUAAAGUGGACAAAAUCCUCGACUCACACUUUUAAGAGAGCUAAAGAUACGACCAAGGCAGGGGAAGCGCAGGUGGUGGGCUCUACUGUAAUCACCAGUGGAAAGACCAGGAGAUGAAGCCCAGAGAGGCUCAGCAAGUUACCCAAGGUCACACUGCUAUUCAAUGCUCCAGGCUGGGCCAAGAGGAACCCGGGCCUCCCAUCCUUUCUCACCCGCUUCUAGACACUGCGUACACUCAUCCACAAGGGACACUAGCGACUGCCUAGGACCGAAGGGCAUCCACGGAGCCGACGCCCCUUGCCCAGACCGGCAGACUGAGGCCUCCGCCCACCUUUUGAUGCUUGCGCUCUUUUUCAAUGCGGUCCAUCCUCUCUACGCGCAACCGGUCCAGUUCCAGGCGCAGCUCGUCCAGCUCGGGAGCGACGUGGUGCCGGCUA